This is a long non-coding RNA of Megalobrama amblycephala (Wuchang bream), 634 nucleotides long. RefSeq lists it as uncharacterized. The record is from RefSeq and is a predicted model, not a curated record. The transcript is spliced from 2 exons. NCBI's taxonomy places the organism in Eukaryota, Metazoa, Chordata, Actinopteri, Cypriniformes, Xenocyprididae.
CUUUCCAGACAGUCCAAGGGAGACUGGUUUUGAGGACAAAACCACAAACUGUGCAGGCCAACACUGGCUGAAGAGUGACCUUGGGUUGUCCAUGAGAUAGACACCCUCCAGAGAAGAGUAAGCAGUAAUGAUCUUAUCAUUUCCUCCCUUGUUGCCUGACUGUAAAGGAAGAAUAUUUGCAUUCUGUUGUGUAGAUGAUGUGAAUGGAGACAGCAGUGCUCGUCUCACAAAGAGCAAAUUAACAGCCCUGAAGCUGAACAAUCACACUGUUGCCAUUGGAAACCGACCACUUUAUGAACUCACCUCUGAGAAUAAAACCACUUUGCCAUGUUCACACUCAUGAGAAAUCGAUAAAUGGUGGAAUUGCGGAAGAACGCCUUGGUCUGUCUGGUUUGGCCAAAUCAAAUCAUGCUAAGUUAACUGUGCAGAAGGUCACAUCAACUUUAAGAAAGAUUCAUUCAGCCACUUUUUCAGAAGACAGAAAUUGAAACUACAAGGUUAAUCCGUGUUAGUUUGCUGGUUAUGCUGUAUUUAUAUUAUAAAAAAAGGACAUUUUAAGUUUGAAGUGAUGGUUGUGAGGAUGUUGUUUAGCUUUGUGAGGCCAACAUAAAAUGUGUAAAUGUUGCCAAAUGUA